GUGACCCCAGGAUGGGCGAGGCCACCCGCCGAAUUUAAG
Molecule: ribosomal RNA, 39 nt
Filed under: Fernandezia sp. Chase O-217
Lineage: Eukaryota; Viridiplantae; Streptophyta; Magnoliopsida; Asparagales; Orchidaceae
Description: partial 26S ribosomal RNA
Source: RNAcentral